GAUGAACGCUGGCGGCGUGCUUAACACAUGCAAGUCGAACGGAACUACUCCAAUGAGAGUCUUCGGAAAGGAUUUGGUUUAGUUUAGUGGCGGACGGGCGAGUAACGCGUGGGUAACCUGCCCUAUACAGGGGGAUAACAGUUGGAAACGACUGUUAAUACCGCAUAAGCGCACAGGAGCGCAUGCUCCGGUGUGAAAAACUCCGGUGGUUUAGGAUGGACCCGCGUCUGAUUAGCUGGUUGGCGGGGUAACGGCCCACCAAGGCGACGAUCAGUAGCCGGGCUGAGAGGGUGAACGGCGACAUUGGGACUGAGACACGGCCCAAACUCCUACGGGAGGCAGCAGUGGGGAAUAUUGCAAAAUGGGGGAAACCCUGAUGCAGCGACGCCGCGUGAGCGAAGAAGUAUCUCGGUAUGUAAAGCUCUAUUAGCAGGGAAGAAAAUGACGGUACCUGACCAAGAAGCCCCGGCUAACUACGUG
Molecule: ribosomal RNA, 480 nt
Filed under: uncultured bacterium
Lineage: Bacteria
Description: partial 16S ribosomal RNA
Rfam family: Bacterial small subunit ribosomal RNA
Source: RNAcentral